This 209-nucleotide long non-coding RNA is filed under the name Panax ginseng (ginseng). RNAcentral describes it as "long non-coding RNA (PGIN_LNC018417)". Lineage: Eukaryota; Viridiplantae; Streptophyta; Magnoliopsida; Apiales; Araliaceae. The record is from RNAcentral.
UCUUAUUUGGCAUUUUAGAGUUGCAGACACAAGAAUGACCGAAUUCCGACUUAGAACGAAGAAACGAGCGUUGAACGUUCCCGAACGUUUACCGUUUUUGUUAUAAAUGGACUAAUAGGUGAAUUUUUAGCAAACGAAGUCAAAUAGAUACAAUUCUUGCAUGAACGCGUAGAGUAUGUAAUUUGUGAACCGUAGGCUUUUGAACGAGC